UACGUAGGUGGCAAGCGUUAUCCGGAUUUAUUGGGCGUAAAGGGAACGCAGGCGGUCUUUUAAGUCUGAUGUGAACGCCUUCGGCUUAACCGGAGUAGUGCAUUGGAAACUGGGAGACUUGAGUGCAGAAGAGGAGAGUGGAACUCCAUGUGUAGCGGUGAAAUGCGUAGAUAUAUGGAAGAACACCAGUGGCGAAAGCGGCUCUCUGGUCUGUAACUGACGCUGAGGUUCGAAAGCGUGGGUAGCAAACAGG
RNAcentral lists this ribosomal RNA (253 nucleotides) under uncultured bacterium. RNAcentral describes it as "partial 16S ribosomal RNA". It matches the Rfam family "Bacterial small subunit ribosomal RNA", at positions 524 to 776 of the family's 1533-position model. The record is from RNAcentral.